GUGGGCCCUCGAAAUCCUGUGGCGGGAUGAUUCAGUUGGGCGUCGCCUUUCCGGCUCGAACGGACACGACACGGUAUCCUUUUAAGGGGGCCGUCCGAUCGCUGGAACUUGGUGGCGCUCGACGCAUUUCGUUCCCGUCCAAAGGACGCCGCAACCGGUUGGGCUCGACGGCUAGAAGGGCGGACGUGGGCAGGUGGCCGGUGGCGUUGCUUCGAGCUUCGCCGUCGGUUGUUAGCCCGUCUGCCAGAUGGCCCGCCGCUCGACCGUGGUGACACGAGGCCUUUGUAGGCUCCUCCGUCUCCUCCCUUCGCAGGACGCCGGGGCGGAAGGGCAGACGUACGUUCCGAGCGGGGCCGCACUGGCCUUACCAGUGGGCAAAGUUUCGGACGUCAUCGUUAGCCCGAGCGCUCCCGUGGGAGGCAUGAUGGUUGGCGGCGAGUAGGUCGGUCACCCACCCGACCCGUCUUGAAACACGGACCAAGGAGUCUAACAUGUGCGCGAGUCAGUGGGACUUGAAUAUGCCCACAGGCGCAAUGAAAGCAAAGAGCCGGCGGAACCUAGUGCCGCCGGCCGAGCUGUGAUCCCGAGCACUCGUUGCUCGGGCGCAACAGCGACCCGUCCUAUCCGAUUCAUCGGUUGGGCGGCGUUAGAGCGUACACGUUGGGACCCGAAAGAUGGUGAACUAUGCCCGGACAGGACGAAGCCAGAGGAAACUCUGGUGGAGGUCCGUAGCGGUUCUGACGUGCAAAUCGAUCGUCGGAUCCGGGUCUAGGGGCGAAAGACUAAUCGAACCAUC
This 796-nucleotide ribosomal RNA is filed under the name Deinopis spinosa. RNAcentral describes it as "eukaryotic LSU rRNA". The stretch from base 360 to 796 matches the Rfam family "Eukaryotic large subunit ribosomal RNA", at positions 1 to 944 of the family's 3401-position model. The record is from RNAcentral. Lineage: Eukaryota; Metazoa; Arthropoda; Arachnida; Araneae; Deinopidae.